Molecule: small RNA, 116 nt
Filed under: Citrobacter sp. Cb023
Lineage: Bacteria; Pseudomonadati; Pseudomonadota; Gammaproteobacteria; Enterobacterales; Enterobacteriaceae
Description: partial RtT sRNA
Rfam family: RtT RNA
About the family: This family represents a bacterial cis-regulatory element known as RtT RNA. The exact function of RtT is unknown although it is thought that it may be involved in changing the cellular response in relation to amino acid starvation.
Source: RNAcentral
GAAGGAUGAGAAGCUUCGACUAAGGUUCGAUUCGAGCGUUAGCGAGAAAGCGUUGCCGCAGGCAACGACCCGAAGGGCGAGGCGCACCGCGCUGAGUAAUCCUUCCCCCACCACCA